AACGAACGCUGGCGGCAUGCCUAACACAUGCAAGUCGAACGAGACCUUCGGGUCUAGUGGCGCACGGGUGCGUAACGCGUGGGAACCUGCCCUUAGGUUCGGAAUAACUCCCCGAAAGGGGUGCUAAUACCGGAUAAUGUCUUCGGACCAAAGAUUUAUCGCCUUUGGAUGGGCCCGCGUUGGAUUAGCUAGUUGGUAGGGUAAAAGCCUACCAAGGCGACGAUCCAUAGCUGGUCUGAGAGGAUGAUCAGCCACACUGGGACUGAGACACGGCCCAGACUCCUACGGGAGGCAGGAGUGGGGAAUAUUGGACAAUGGGCGAAAGCCUGAUCCAGCAAUGCCGCGUGAGUGAAGAAGGCCUUAGGGUUGUAAAGCUCUUUUACCCGGGAUGAUAAUGACAGUACCGGGAGAAUAAGCUCCGGCUAACUCCGUG
Molecule: ribosomal RNA, 433 nt
Filed under: uncultured bacterium
Lineage: Bacteria
Description: partial 16S ribosomal RNA
Rfam family: Bacterial small subunit ribosomal RNA
Source: RNAcentral